GUUAAGCGACUAAGCGUACACGGUGGAUGCCCUGGCAGUCAGAGGCGAUGAAGGACGUGCUAAUCUGCGAUAAGCGUCGGUGAGGUGAUAUGAACCGUUAUAACCGGCGAUUUCCGAAUGGGGAAACCCAGUGUGUUUCGACACACUAUCAUUAACUGAAUCCAUAGGUUAAUGAGGCGAACCGGGGGAACUGAAACAUCUAAGUACCCCGAGGAAAAGAAAUCAACCGAGAUUCCCCCAGUAGCGGCGAGCGAACGGGGAGGAGCCCAGAGCCUGAAUCAGUGUGUGUGUUAGUGGAAGCGUCUGGAAAGGCGCGCGAUACAGGGUGACAGCCCCGUACACAAAAAUGCACAUACUGUGAGCUCGAUGAGUAGGGCGGGACACGUGGUAUCCUGUCUGAAUAUGGGGGGACCAUCCUCCAAGGCUAAAUACUCCUGACUGACCGAUAGUGAACCAGUACCGUGAGGGAAAGGCGAAAAGAACCCCGGCGAGGGGAGUGAAAAAGAACCUGAAACCGUGUACG
This 523-nucleotide ribosomal RNA is filed under the name Escherichia coli. RNAcentral describes it as "partial 23S ribosomal RNA". It matches the Rfam family "Bacterial large subunit ribosomal RNA", at positions 1 to 564 of the family's 2925-position model. The record is from RNAcentral. Lineage: Bacteria; Pseudomonadati; Pseudomonadota; Gammaproteobacteria; Enterobacterales; Enterobacteriaceae.